GAUGAACGCUAGCGACAGGCUUAACACAUGCAAGUCGAGGGGCAGCAUAAAAGUAGCAAUACUUUGGUGGCGACCGGCGCACGGGUGAGUAACGCGUAUGCAACCUACCUAUCAGAGGGGAAUAACCCGGCGAAAGUCGGACUAAUACCGCAUAAAACAGGGGCACCGCAUGGUGAUAUUUGUUAAAGAAAUUCGCUGAUAGAUGGGCAUGCGUUCCAUUAGGUAGUUGGUGAGAUAACGGCUCACCAAGCCAACGAUGGAUAGGGGAACUGAGAGGUUGGCCCCCCACACAAGUGCUGCGACACGGACCAGACCCCGACGGGAGGAAGCAGUGAGCAAUAUAAGUCAAUGGGCGAGAGCCUGAACCAACCAGGUCGCGUGAAGGAAGAAGGUUCUAUGGUUCGUAAACUUCUUUUGCAGGGGAAUAAAGUGCGGAACGUGUCCUGUUUUGUAUGUACCCUGAGAAUAAGGAUCGGCUAACUCCGUGCCAGCCGCCGCGGUAA
RNAcentral lists this ribosomal RNA (503 nucleotides) under uncultured bacterium. Its description in RNAcentral is "partial 16S ribosomal RNA". It matches the Rfam family "Bacterial small subunit ribosomal RNA", at positions 28 to 523 of the family's 1533-position model. The record is from RNAcentral.